GCGGGGGUGGCUGAGCUUGGUCUAAGGCGCAGGCUUGAGGAGCCUGUCCCGCAGGGGUUCGAGGGUUCAAAUCCCUUCCCCCGCACCA
Molecule: transfer RNA, 88 nt
Filed under: Hadarchaeum sp. (SeqCode)
Lineage: Archaea; Methanobacteriati; Hadarchaeota (SeqCode); Hadarchaeia (SeqCode); Hadarchaeales (SeqCode); Hadarchaeaceae (SeqCode)
Description: Candidatus Hadarchaeum sp. tRNA-Leu
Rfam family: tRNA
About the family: Transfer RNA (tRNA) molecules are approximately 80 nucleotides in length. Their secondary structure includes four short double-helical elements and three loops (D, anti-codon, and T loops).
Source: RNAcentral